This 495-nucleotide ribosomal RNA is filed under the name uncultured bacterium. RNAcentral's name for it is "partial 16S ribosomal RNA". It matches the Rfam family "Bacterial small subunit ribosomal RNA", at positions 28 to 507 of the family's 1533-position model. The record is from RNAcentral.
GAUGAACGCUGGCGGCGUGCCUAAUACAUGCAAGUAGAACGCUGAAGGAGGAGCUUGCUCUUCUGGAUGAGUUGCGAACGGGUGAGUAACGCGUAGGUAACCUGCCUGGUAGCGGGGGAUAACUAUUGGAAACGAUAGCUAAUACCGCAUGACAACAGUUAUUGCAUGAUAACUGUUUAAAAGGGGCAACUGCUCCACUACCAGAUGGACCUGCGUUGUAUUAGCUAGUUGGUGAGGUAACGGCUCACCAAGGCGACGAUACAUAGCCGACCUGAGAGGGUGAUCGGCCACACUGGGACUGAGACACGGCCCAGACUCCUACGGGAGGCAGCAGUAGGGAAUCUUCGGCAAUGGACGGAAGUCUGACCGAGCAACGCCGCGUGAGUGAAGAAGGUUUUCGGGUCGUAAAGCUCUGUUGUAAGAGAAGAACGAGUGUGAGAGUGGAAAGUUCACACUGUGACGGCAUCUUACCAGAAAGGGACGGCUAACUACGUG